CAAAAACAUCGCCUCUUGCAAAUAAAGAAUAAGAGGUCCCGCCUGCCCUGUGACAAUACGUUUAACGGCCGCGGUAUUUUGACCGUGCAAAGGUAGCGCAAUCACUUGUCUCUUAAAUGGAGACCUGUAUGAAUGGCACAACGAGGGCUUAACUGUCUCCUCUCCCCAGUCAAUGAAAUUGAUCUCCCCGUGCAGAAGCGGGGAUUAGAACAUAAGACGAGAAGACCCUAUGGAGCUUUAGAUACUAAGACAGAUCAUGUUAAACUCCCCUAAUAAAGGAAUGAACUAAGUGACCCCUGCCCUGAUAUCUUUGGUUGGGGCGACCGCGGGGUAACAUAAAACCCCCAUGUGGAAUAGGAGUACUUCCCCUAAAACCAAGAGCAACAGCUCUAAGCAACAGAACAUCUGACCAGCAAGAUCCGGCAACGCCGAUCAACGAACCGAGUUACCCUAGGGAUAACAGCGCAAUCCCCUUUUAGAGCCCAUAUCGACAAGGGGGUUUACGACCUCGAUGUUGGAUCAGGACAUCCUAAUGGUGCAGCCGCUAUUAAGGGUUCGUUUGUUCAACGAUUAAAGUCCUACGUGAUCU
This 589-nucleotide ribosomal RNA is filed under the name Tuamotuichthys schwarzhansi. RNAcentral's name for it is "partial 16S ribosomal RNA". It matches the Rfam family "Bacterial large subunit ribosomal RNA", at positions 1808 to 2606 of the family's 2925-position model. The record is from RNAcentral. Lineage: Eukaryota; Metazoa; Chordata; Actinopteri; Ophidiiformes; Bythitidae.